UUAAUUGAAACCAAAAUAAAGGUAAAUUAUGGUUAAUAAUUUCAUUGAUUCCCAAUUGAAAUAAA
Molecule: transfer RNA, 65 nt
Filed under: Pristaulacus compressus
Lineage: Eukaryota; Metazoa; Arthropoda; Insecta; Hymenoptera; Aulacidae
Description: tRNA-Asn
Source: RNAcentral